This 469-nucleotide ribosomal RNA is filed under the name uncultured bacterium. RNAcentral describes it as "SSU rRNA". It matches the Rfam family "Bacterial small subunit ribosomal RNA", at positions 26 to 518 of the family's 1533-position model. The record is from RNAcentral.
AGGACAAACGCUGGCGGCGUACCUAAGACAUGCAAGUCGAACGGGGACUACCGCUUCGGCGGGAGAUUCUAGUGGCGAACGGGUGAGUAACACGUAGGAACCUAUCACCGGGUGGGGGAUACCGACGGGAAACUGUCGCUAAGACCGCAUGAGGUUCUCCUUGAGAGAUCGGGAGAAAGAAAGCAGCAAUGUGCCGGGUGAGGGGCCUGUGGCCGAUUAGCUGGUUGGUGGGGUAAAGGCCUACCAAGGCGACGAUCGGUAGCUGGUCUGAGAGGAUGGUCAGCCACACUGGGACUGAGACACGGCCCAGACUCCUACGGGAGGCAGCAGUUAGGAAAUUUUCGCAAUGGGGGAAACCCUGACGGAGUAACGCCGCGUGGAGGAUGACGGCCUUCGGGUUGUAACUCUUUCUGGGAGAGAGAAGACGGUACCCAGGAAGAGCCUCGGCUAACUACGUGCCAGCAGCCGC